UCAGGGGCGGAGGGAUCCCUCAGCCAGAUUGCAAGAGGGCGCAGGCCAGGCUGAGGGACCCCACCAGUACAUG
This 73-nucleotide microRNA precursor is filed under the name Myotis brandtii (Brandt's bat). Its description in RNAcentral is "mir-9193 microRNA precursor family". It matches the Rfam family "mir-9193 microRNA precursor family". The record is from Rfam by way of RNAcentral. Lineage: Eukaryota; Metazoa; Chordata; Mammalia; Chiroptera; Vespertilionidae.